GCAGGUCUUGCUGCAGCUGCUGUGCGGGAUGGGGGUGAAGUUCCCAGGUCAAUCGAGUUGUGUCCCUAGGAGGAUUAUGGCUGCCUCUGCUGAGUCAUGCAGGUUGUCAGGGAAGUGGGGGAAAGCCAGCAGUCACAGGCCUCACCCAGCUCCCAUGCAAUCCAAAGGGCCAUUCUCACUCCCACCGUGCCCCCUCUCUGCAACAGCACUGAGUCUGUUUUCAGACAGUGGACAAGCAGGGCUGAGAACUUGCCCCAUGUUACCCACCUUCCAGCUGCAGAAGAAAAGGGCUUUAGUUCUUCCUGCACCUGUGGAGUCUACAUGCCGGAUAUGUGCCCUCCCCUAAGUUCUGGCCAAGAGGCUUCUCAACCAGUUCAAAUUGUUACAAAGUUCAGCUGAAGACUUCCUUCUCCCUGUGGCAUUUUCCCCGAAGGAUCCCUGUGGUGCCAGGCAGAAAUGGCCUGCUUGGGGACCCAGAGAGCUCCAAGGGCCUCUCCCACUGCUUCCUCUACCCCUGUAUUUCGCUUGGCUCUCCAAACUGACUCAGCUCCAGGUAACCUACUACAUCCACAGGUGCCUUGGGCAGGGCACAUGAGAAGGUUCUAGAGAUUAAAUGGAGAUUUAGAAGAUGAGUUUGUCCACACCCAAGACAGUGACCUGCAGGCUGGGUGUGCAGAUUUUGAAACAGAAACAGAGUAAUAAACUUUCCAUUAAAGCAAAAAUGCAAAGGACAGUGUUACAUGCACACAUAAAAUGGAUUUUGCACACAAGUGACUAAAUGGAUAAAUAAUAUCUCUAAAAUAUGCAUCAAGUCUUCUCAGUAGUAUAAGUUAACAAAAUAUCUUAGUUUAUUCAGGCUGCUAUAACAAAAUACCUUAGACUGGGCAAUUUAUAAACAACAGAAAUUUAUUGCUCAUGGUUCUGGAGGCUGGGAAGUCCAAGAUCAAGGAGUCAGCAGAUUUAGGUGGAAGGGAAAAUCAAGCUCCCUCAAGCCUCUUUAACAAGAGACCCUA
Molecule: long non-coding RNA, 1013 nt
Filed under: Homo sapiens (human)
Lineage: Eukaryota; Metazoa; Chordata; Mammalia; Primates; Hominidae
Description: HSALNT0033758
Source: RNAcentral